GAUGAACGCUGGCGGCGUGCCUAAUACAUGCAAGUCGAGCGAACGGACGCGAAGCUUUUUUCUCUGAUGUUAGCGGCGGACGGGUGAGUAGUACGUGGAUAACCUACCUCUAAGACUGGGAUAACUUCGGCAAACCGGAGCUGAUAACGGAUAAUAUUUUGAACCGCAUGGUUCAAAAGUGAAAGACGGUCUUGCUGUCGCUUAUAGAUGGAUUCGCGCUGCAUUAGCUAGUUGGUAAGGUAACGGCUUACCAAGGCAGCGAUGAAUAGCCGACCUGAGAGGGGGAUCGGCCACACUGGAACUGAGACACGGUCGAGACUCCUACGAGAGGCAGCAGUAGGGAAUCUUCCGCAAUGGGCGAAAGCCGGAUGGAGCAACGCCGCGUGAGUGAUGAAGGACUUCGGAUCGUAGAACUCUGUUAUUAGGGAAGAACAUAUGUGUAAGUAACUGUGCGCAGCUUGACGGUACCUAAUCAGAAAGCCACGGCUAACUACGUG
This 497-nucleotide ribosomal RNA is filed under the name uncultured bacterium. RNAcentral's name for it is "partial 16S ribosomal RNA". It matches the Rfam family "Bacterial small subunit ribosomal RNA", at positions 28 to 507 of the family's 1533-position model. The record is from RNAcentral.